CGUAGGGCGCAAGCGUUGUCCGGAAUUAUUGGGCGUAAAGAGCCCGUAGGCGGCUUGUCACGUCGGAUGUGAAAGCCCGAGGCUUAACCUCGGGUCUGCAUUCGAUACGGGCUAGCUAGAGUGUGGUAGGGGAGAUCGGAAUUCCUGGUGUAGCGGUGAAAUGCGCAGAUAUCAGGAGGAACACCGGUGGCGAAGGCGGAUCUCUGGGCCAUUACUGACGCUGAGGAGCGAAAGCGUGGGGAGCGAACAGGAUUAGAUACCCUGGUAGUCCACGCCGUAAACGUUGGGAACUAGGUGUUGGCGACAUUCCACGUCGUCGGUGCCGCAGCUAACGCAUUAAGUUCCCCGCCUGGGGAGUACGGCCGCAAGGCUA
Molecule: ribosomal RNA, 373 nt
Filed under: uncultured organism
Description: bacterial SSU rRNA
Rfam family: Bacterial small subunit ribosomal RNA
Source: RNAcentral